AACGAACGCUGGCGGCGUGCUUAACACAUGCAAGUCGAACGAGAAAGUUGCUUCGGCAACGAGUAAAGUGGCGCACGGGUCCGUAACACGUGAAUAACUUUCCCUUGGGUGAAGAACAACUCGGCGAAAGCCGAGCUAAUACUUCGUAAGACCACGACCUCCUCGGAGGUUGAGGUAAAAGGUGGCCUCUUCUUGAAAGCUAUCACCUGAAGAUAGGUUCGCGCACCAUUAGCUAGUUGGUAGGGUAAUGGCCUACCAAGGCAAAGAUGGUUAGCUGGUCUGAGAGGACGAUCAGCGACACUGGAACUGAGACACGGUCCAGACUCCUACGGGGGGCAGUAGUGGGGAAUAUUGGACAAUGGGCGAAAGCCUGAUCCAGCAACGCCGCGUGGGUGAUGAAGGCCUUCGGGUUGUAAAGCCCUGUCGGAUGGAACGGAACCGAUCAACCUAAUACGUUGGUCAUUGACGGUACCAUCAAAGGAAGCACCGGCUAACUCUGUGCCAGCCGCCGCAGUAA
Molecule: ribosomal RNA, 517 nt
Filed under: uncultured bacterium
Lineage: Bacteria
Description: partial 16S ribosomal RNA
Rfam family: Bacterial small subunit ribosomal RNA
Source: RNAcentral